CAAUAGCGUAUAUUAAAGUUGUUGCGGUUAAAAGCUCGUAGUUGGAUUUCUGUUCAGUGCGACCGGUCCGCCUAUCGGUUGGUAUCAGGUUCGCUCUGAGCAUUUUCCUGGGGAACAUGGCUGCGCCUCGUUGUGUGGCCUGUUGCCUGGGUCUUUUACUUUGAGGAAAUUAGAGUGUUUCAAGCAGGCGCUUGCCUUGAAUACAUUAGCAUGGAAUAAUACAAUAGGACCUCGGUUCUGUUUUGUUGGUUUCUGGAGCUGAGGUAAUGAUUAAUAGGGAUAGUCGGGGGCAUUCGUACUUAACUGUCAGAGGUGAAAUUCUUGGAUUUGUUAAAGACGAACUAGUGCGAAAGCAUUUGCCAAGGAUGUUUUCAUUGAUCAAGAACGAAAGUUAGGGGAUCGAAGAUGAUCAGAU
Molecule: ribosomal RNA, 415 nt
Filed under: uncultured eukaryote
Lineage: Eukaryota
Description: SSU rRNA
Rfam family: Eukaryotic small subunit ribosomal RNA
Source: RNAcentral